CUGCCUGCAAGGCCAGGCACCCACACGACCCCUCGCUUUGUCUCUUUCUGUCUUGGAACCCAGGCCGUACUUGAGCUCCCAUCUGCUACCCCACACCCCACUGGCUGUUGCAAGAGUGAUGUUGCCAUUGGUGACCGCAGGUCUCCCAGCAGCCUGGUGCCGAGAGGCCACUUCAGGCUCUAACGGGGGCCCGGGUUUCCACGGGAGACGGCAGAGCCACGGUGUGGCAGGCGUCCAGCUCUCCCCUUGAUCAAUUCUGUGACUUGUCAGAAGACCCCCUACCCGUGGGCCUCGGUUUCCUCAUCUGUGAAACAACGGGAGUGACCUGGAGGGCCUCCGCCAGUCUCAGUCUAAGCCCUUAAGACAGAGGCAGACACUGUCGGCCUGUGAGCCCCUGGCUUUGCUCUUGCUUCAGGUCAGACAAAGAAAGGACUGGUGGUCUCUGGGCAUCCUGAGCCUGUCUCCAUGGAAACCAGCUCGCCCACCCCCUCUCUGGCAAGUGUCCUAAUGGGUGCCAUGGGAAACUGUGGACUCCAGUUGGCGGCCUUGCAUUUGAGAUCCCUGGCCCAGAGUAAUGGAGGGGACCUCAUCUUAUAGAAUAUACUGCGAGGGUGUGGAGAGGCUGUGGGGGAAGCACAGCCUGGUCAGCAGGCACUGGGUAUCCUGGCUUGAGCUCAGGGCACCUUUGUCCCAGGGCAGGACCCUCACGUCUUGGGCUGCUCCAUCCCCGUUGGGGUCUCCCUUCAUUCUUGAUGAAUGUCCACUCACAGAGGGGGCCCCAUGCCUCUCCAAAGACCCCCACCCUCCAGUCCUUGUGUCCCUGAGGUUGGCCCCCUGGUGGCCACCUCAUGGGGAAGGCCCUGGACACAGGGGCCCGGCCUAAUGCAGCAUGGCUCCAUCUUAACUAGUUAUGUCUGCAAAGACCCUGUCUCCAAACAAGGUCAUAUUUUGGGCUUCUGAGUGGAAGUCGAUUUGGGGGACACUCAUCAACCCAGCACAACGCUCCCUCUCACGAUGCUCUUUCAAGAGAAGGCUCUUGGACACCUGGAGGCCACCAGUCCAUUCUGGAUCCCCAGAGGCCACUAGUCCUUUCUCCCUCUGACCUGAAACAAGAGCUAGCAGGGGCUAGCAGGCCGACUGCAUCUGCUGCCUUUUUAGAUACUGGCCCCAGCCGCAAUGCCCAGGACUGAGUCAUGGAGAUUCCCUCAGAAAUGGUGCAGCCCAGUCUGUCCACAGAGUGAGGGGGGGACAAGCCUGGUGGCCCCGGCUUCAGUGCAGGCCAUCCUUUCCACCUGUUGUCUCCUCUUGGUCUCACAGGGGACCCAGUUCCUAUCCUCUGCCCUGAAGCAUGGCUACGACCCUCAUGGGCCACAAGCUUGACACCCUCAGGUGGCCAGACUGUGCCCCAGAUCCGGGGCUGGUAGCAGCAUGGGUGUGGUCAACUGGCACGCAGCUGUUACCCGGACACCCUCCCAUCAGCACUUUUUUGGGGGGUGAGUGAUAGAAACUCAACUUGGGCUUACAGGUGAAUUUACUGGUUCCUGUGAUCACAGAGUUCAAGGUUUAGCUGGACCCGGUGCCUCCAAGGAUGUCACCAAGUCUGUCUGUCCGUCUGAGUUCAGCGUCCUCCAGGUCUUCGCUCUCCAGCAGGCCUUCUCCUCAAAGUGGCCAGGUGGCUGUCAGCUCUGUGGUUCAUUCUACCAGUUUUAUCAAUCUCCACUCCUCAUUUUGCUCAAAUUCAGCUACUUUUCCCACAGGCCUUUGGUUCCUCUGGAUGUCGGCGUGCCCCUGUACCAGCACUGCCCUGGAUGUCAGCGUGCCCCUAUACCAGCACUGCCCUGGAUGUCGGCGUGCCCCUGUACCAGCACUGCCCUGGAUGUCGGCGUGCCCCUGUACCAGCACUGCCCUGGAUGUCGGCGUGCCCCUGUACCAGCACUGCCCUGGAUGUCGGCGUGCCCCUGUACCAGCACUGCCCCGACUUGUCACUCCAGGGACAGUGUGUCCACCCCUGGCCUAGCUCGUCAGAAACCUUUGUCUUCAUGUCAUCGUGUCCACUCAUGAUGUCCAAGGUCCUUCUGUCUUUAAAGAGCAUGGGGAGGAGGGGCAUUGUGCCGAGUUGAUGUGUGUCCCCCAAAUCCACUUCACUCAGAAGCUCAAAAUAUGACCUUAUUUGGAGACAGGGUCUUUGCAGAUGUAAUUAGUUAAGGUGAAGUCACGCUGCAUUAAGGCGGGCCCAGGGACUGGCGAUCUUAUAAAAAGAGGAGCAGACACAGAGACAGAUGCAGAGGGAGGGCGGCCAUGGAAAGACAAAAGCAGAGAGCAGAUGAUGCAGCCACAAGCCAUCGGAUGUCCAGGGCCACUGGGAGCUGAGGAGGUGAGGAAGGACGCCCCCAGGAGCCUACAGAGGGAGCACGACCGUGUCUGACAACUUCAGACUUCUGGCCUCCAGAUCAUCACGGCAGUACAUUUCUGCUGUUGUAAGCCACUCAUUUUGUGGGCCUCUGCUGCAGGAGCUCAAGUAAACUCAUUCAGGUAUUCAGGAUGGUUGCGCUGGGUCAGGAGAUGGGCCACACACGGUCUCUGGGCUGAAGGAGUGGGCACCAGAAACGCGUCCUCAGUUGACCACAUCUUGGCACUCAGCUUUGGUGACUCCCCCUGGUGUUGCUGAUGUCCCACCCUGGCCUCUAGGGUAUUCAGAGUCCUGCACCCCAACCCUGCUCCCUUCCUGCCCUGGCCUCAUCUCACCUCUGCAGUAGCAAGACUUUUCUGUGGCCUGAACCUAGAUCCUCUGCCACCUCUUCAUUCUUCUCCUUCAGUGUUGGUUCACCAAGAGCCUUGAGAGUCCCCAGGGCUGCAAGGGCACACAGAAAACCCACAGCUUCAUACACUGAGCUAUCACUCCUCAUCGACAGGACCUCAAGCCUCCAGUCCCAGCUCAGUCUAAUUCAAUCUCUGUAUCUUUGCUCAAACUCUUGCAAGGAAAUCUGACCGCCUUGGCCUGGCUGGGGCAUCCAGCGCUAUAUCUGGGGUGUGGCCUGAAACCCUUCCUUCCUUGGUAGGACUCAACCAGGGUUAAGGAAAGGGCAGAUUCCUUGGAGAAGCAUGAGGAGGUAGUGCUUCUGAGGACACUCAUGUAUGUGAAUGCCCAGUGCAGACGUAUGGAAAUGAUGUCAUCUACAUUUAGCCCCAUCCCUCUAGGGUGGGUGUCAUCAGAUUCCCAUCCCAGUUUGCAGCUGGAGCCUCGGGACUUGGAUUAAGUGCUCACCAAUGCUGGUAGAGAAGACUGUCGCUUCCCACCGCUCUCAGCACUUGUCAACUUGCGAGGUCUCAUGGCAAGUAAGUCCUGGCCACCCUGGUCGCCUCAUAGAGGAAGUGGCUUGGGCCAGAUGCCCUCCUCUGAGGUGAAUCUUGAGCUGGAGCUUCGGUGUGCACCUGGAGCACGUGGCUGGGGUGUUCAGCAAACCCUGGGCAGGGAGGACAGGCCGGCCAGGCCUCAGGCCCUGGCAUCUGCCUCUGUAGCGCAUUCAUCCACUUUGGGGGUCUUUGUGUCCCUAAAAGAGUCUGAAUAUGAAUCCACACUCAAGCAAAACCACGAAGGAGAUCAAAGCAGCUGCAAUGACACCGGAGGAGGCUCAUUCUCGUGGGAAACCUCAGAGUAAGACACAUCGGGGAGGCGCUGGCUACAGGGUCAUGACGGAGGUGAGAGGUUGAGGGUAAUGGACAGAAAGCAGCAUGCACCCAAGUCCAGGUGGCAGGGAAAACAGAGAGCAAGGAGGAAGCAAGACUGUGAGCAAAACAGGCCAAGAGAGGCCAGUCAGUCACAGAUGCCAGGCUCCAGCCCAACCUGCCCAGACCCUGCGUCUCAGAGGGCACCUGCCCUCCUCCAUGCACCCAACCUGCCCUGUCCCAUCUGUGUAGGGCUCCGUCUGUCUCCCCUGCAAAGUCAGGUGCUCCUCACUGGAAGGUAGGAACUGGGCUUCACCAUCUGGACUGCGCAAGACCUGCCUGGCCAUGAGAGGAGAACAAAGAGUUUUCUAGAAGGCUGGCUUGCUCACACAAGUGAAGAACUGCCCAGCAGAAGUAAUGCUUAGGCAAAGCAGGUGGGUACUGGUGGUGGUCACAGAUGCUGAGGUGAGCCACAGGCCUGAGCCAUCCAUUGUGGGGAUCUGGAAGCCAGUGUGGCUCCCACACACAGAGGUAGACAGUUCCUGGAGAACACCAGAGUCUAGGCCCCAGGGGCUGGGCGAACCUCAGAGGGCGUCCCACGCCAGCUUAAAGGCAGCUUGGAAUGUGGCAAUUGAUCAGUGGGUGCUGGGCAGCUCGCACCCCUGUGCAGACAGCCUUCUCCAUGGGCCAACAAGUGUGUCACAUGCAUGCAGAUGCGUGUGCAUAGGGCCAUGGGGGCCCAGGAGCCUUCCUACUGCAGAGUUCAAAGAUGUGGGCUGAAGAACGUUUGGAGAGCAUCCCCUGCCUGUGCUUCUGUUUUAACUCCAGGCCCCAAGCCUCCGCUGGGUGGGGGGCGGGCGCUGCUCCCAGCCUCCCAUGCAAGGGGCCCCAGAGGGAGGAAAAUGGCAGGCUGGGACAGAGGCACCACGUGAGAGCAGCUUUGUGAUAAAGCUGCCAGAUACACAAAGCAACAAAUAAAAAGGAAAAAGGGAACGGGACUCAGCACAAUUCACAAGUCACAAGGGGAUUGGCUCCAAGGAGCAGGUCCGUGGCUCAGCGGGUCCACUGGGGCUCUCUGGGCAGAGGGGCCUGGCGUUUCAGGUCCCCUCCAGAACCUUCACCCUGAGUGGCAAUGACAUUCCGUAGCCUUGAGGGGCAGGGACUCAGAGCUCGGCACCCUGGGGCUCUGGGGUGGAGGAUGAGGAUGAUCCAGAAUGGGGAGGCAGAAAUAGCCCCCCAUUCCUUUCUACUAGUUCUCAUGCCUCCAGCCCCUUGCUGCAGCCACACUGGCCUCAGUUACACUGGUUCGUUCCUGCUCCUCACCUGUACAGGGCCAGUUCCUGAACUGGGGGGGGGCUUUGUACAUACAGGCACCAGAACAUUCCUCCAGAGCUUCACUGGGGCCCUCCUCUUCAGCAUGACGGUCCCCGGCCACCUGAUCCAGAGCUGGCGGCUCCCAGGCAUAGCCCAUCCCUGCUGCGGCCCUGCACUACCCCAGUCCUCACCUGCAUGCAGGGGACUGUUCACAUGCUGACCGUCUGUCCAUCUCCUGUAAGGACGUCGGCUCCUUCCAUGUCUGCUGGGCUGAGGAUCCCUCACAGCCUCCCUGACCUCAGAGCCAUGAAAGACUUGCAAGGCUUGAAGCAAACUCUGAACGGGCCCUUCACAGAUAAAUUCUACCAGCAUGAUUAUACACAUCGAAAUCCUCAGGGGUCAGCACGAAGUGUCUGCAUAGACGUACCCAAACACCCGGGGCCUGGCAUUCCAAUAAACCCUCUGGACAGAGCGGCAUCUCCUCUUCACACAGUGAAACUAACUGCAGCUCUUCUCCUCCUGGAUGUGCAAGCGUCCACAAACAGGUAUUUUCCCCAUUUCCUGUUCGGUUCAAAGGUUAUUCCUAAAAAGCAGUCAUUGACCUGUUUUUCAUUUUUUGACUGAGAAAUGUAUUGACUAUGAACGCACAAAAUAUUUGCUGCACUGUAUACUCCUCUCUUACUGACACAAGAUCACUGGAAAAGCCAUCUCAGAAAAAAAUGGAAGAUUUCAGGAGGAGCUGGAGUGAAAGAAACCCAAGGUCGUUCAGCUCAUUACAUGUUAGUUAAAUGUUACAGUUUCAUAUAUUUAAAAAAACCCCAGAUACUCCCUUAAAAAAAUUAGUCUUUUCCUGUGUGUAUUUUAUCUCAAAUAAAAAAGGAUUCUAAUUUUAUCUGUGUUCAUAAGUCGAUAAAAAAAUGGUUAGGCUGGGGUUGUUUACUUUUUCAUAAGAUUCUCUGA
This is a long non-coding RNA of Cercocebus atys (sooty mangabey), 5940 nucleotides long. RefSeq lists it as uncharacterized. The transcript has 3 exons. Lineage: Eukaryota; Metazoa; Chordata; Mammalia; Primates; Cercopithecidae. The record is from RefSeq and is a predicted model, not a curated record.